ACCAGAUGACGAGUCCCAAAUGGGACGAAAUGCCCAUCAUGGAU
This 44-nucleotide non-coding RNA is filed under the name Trichobilharzia regenti. Lineage: Eukaryota; Metazoa; Platyhelminthes; Trematoda; Strigeidida; Schistosomatidae. The record is from RNAcentral.